This 242-nucleotide long non-coding RNA is filed under the name Brassica rapa (field mustard). RNAcentral describes it as "long non-coding RNA (BRAP_LNC000557)". Lineage: Eukaryota; Viridiplantae; Streptophyta; Magnoliopsida; Brassicales; Brassicaceae. The record is from RNAcentral.
GACUUUUUAAUUAUUGAAUAUAUAUUUAUUAUUUCAAAAUAUGUAAAAAAAUAUAAUACAUAAAAUAAUUUUUAUAUAUAAUGUUCAUUCCGUGCAAGGCGAGGGUCUUAACCUAGUCUAAGAUGAAAACUGAACUAAUGCUUUAAACAAAACCAGUCUAAUUUGGCUUAACAAAAAUAAAAAUAACUGAUGUUAUAAAAAAAAGAAUAAAAUAACUACACUUCAAUUUGAAAGAAUAGGUC